Long non-coding RNA from Gadus chalcogrammus (walleye pollock), 1744 nucleotides. RefSeq lists it as uncharacterized. The record is from RefSeq and is a predicted model, not a curated record. The transcript has 4 exons. Lineage: Eukaryota; Metazoa; Chordata; Actinopteri; Gadiformes; Gadidae.
ACCUCUGGGACCCUUAUGCAUGCGUGCUUUUCACAUUUCAUUUUAUGAUAAUUUUGUCUGAGUUCAUGCAUAUGGCACAAUAAAUUGACCUAACAAUGAGCUAAAUGUGGCCAUCAGGGUCAAGUCCAUGGAGCCGCAUUUAAAGGUAGUCGUGUACUAUAAUUAUGUACACAUACAGGAAACAAGAACAUACUCAUAAAACUUAGACCAGACACAUCUAAUCACUAUUGCGACUACCAAAGUAGUGCAUUGAUCACUUAACGUCAAUUGAUGCUGAAGGCCAUUUUUGUAUUCAUUUCACCAGAAAAUCAAGAAAUGAAGAUGCCUGAAGAGCCCACCAGCUCCUCAGGGAAAAGAAAAAGUAUGGAAUUGACCCAGGGUGAGGCCAAGAGUUACAAAGGGGGAAACAAACUGUGUGCGACCCAGAGUGUGGCAUCCAGCUCCAAAGAAUUCAAAUCAAGAAGAUGUGUGAAAAGGCCAUGGAGCAAGACUGAAGUUGGUGCUGUCAUGAAACAUUUUAAGACACAUUUCAAAGGGACACUUGGCAACUAAGUUAGAGUGUGAGCGGUGUAAGGUUUCUGAGCACCCUGUUUUGAGCGACAGAACUCCUCAAAAUAUAAGAGACUUUGUUAGGAACAGGGGCCUUAUGUUUAAAAGAAAGGUCUAACUUGUUUUAUUUUUUUACAUAUGUUUCAAAGGUUCCUCAGAGCAUUAUUACGUGUUUGUGUUAGUUCAUGUUAGUUCAUAGUUCAUAGUUCAUAGUUCAGGGCUAUUCAACCUCCUUAACAAGUGGGCCGAAAAGGAAAACCACUGGGGGUUCAUGGGCCACACAGAGUAGAACGAUGUCAAUGAAUCGCUGCAAAUAAAUCGUACUUAAAGUAGUGUUAACUUAAUAUAUAUAGUACUACUACAUGGAAUAAACUUGUCAGACGCAUUCCUUCCUUCUUCACUUUUAAUCGUAUCAUUAGAAAAUAUUUUGUUCUCACAUAUUUUGGACACGUAUUUAGAAUUCAACAAUGUUGUUUGAAUCAUCACAAAACAGAACUACUGUACAUAUGAGACAUUUUGAGCCAGUGAGUCAGUGAGAAAGAUUGCACUGCCUUUUUUGCCUAGUUUGAAUCAUCCUGAGACACUCAUGCAGCUUCUCAUAGGUCAUGGAGCAGCGUGCCCAUGUUCUGAUGGCAUUCAUAUGAGAAAAGCUAGACUCAACGUAUCGGUUGAGCCAAACAUUGUCAGAAUAAGUGAUGCCAGUUCCUGAUUGUGGGGUACUGCUACUGGCUAGUAUCACCGGCUACACACGGAAACCUGAUUUGCAUGCAACUAUGUUUCUCCUUUAUUUUAUUUAUUUUUUGCAUGCAACCUCUUGCGGGCCAGAAAAAAUUAAGAGGGGCCGUAUUUGGCCCACGGGCCGCUAGUUGAAUAGGCCUGUCAUAGUUCAUAGUUCAUGUUCAUGUUCAAAUAAUUCAGAUUUGUUUAUGUGGAGUUCAAUAUGUGGAGUUCAAUAUAACGCAAGUUCAAUGUUAAGGAUUUUUUACACAUAAAUAAAAAUUGUGUUAUUUAUUAACUGAUUCAAAGAUUAUUACUGUAAUUCCAGGACAUGAAGGUACAUAAAAGGAACAACCUUCUCAAGGUUCCAUAAAAGCAGCAGACAAUUACAAAAUUACUAUUUAAAAGUUAAACAGCAUUCAGUGCUAAGAAAUAAUAUGAUAUAUAAAAUAAUACUACAUUUUAUUUAAAGCGCCUU